This 408-nucleotide ribosomal RNA is filed under the name uncultured bacterium. Its description in RNAcentral is "partial 16S ribosomal RNA". It matches the Rfam family "Bacterial small subunit ribosomal RNA", at positions 28 to 526 of the family's 1533-position model. The record is from RNAcentral.
GACGAACGCUGGCGGCGUGCUUAACACAUGCAAGUCGAACGAAGUGGCGGACGGGUGAGUAACGCGUAAUCAACCUGCCCUUCAGAGGGGGUAAACAGUGGGAAACGACUGCUAAUACCGCAUACGGAAGGAGGUGAUUGCGUGUGAUUAGCUCGUUGGGGGGGUAACGGCCCACCAAGGCGAUGGUCAGUAGCCGGGCUGGAAGGGUGAACGGCCAAAUUUGGACUGAGACACGGCCCAGACUCCUACGGGAGGCAGCAGUGGGGAAUCUUCCGAAAUGGACGAAAGUCUGACGAAGCAACGCCGCGGGAGUGAUGACGGCCUUCGGGUUGUAAAGCUCUGUUAAUCGGGACGCGGUACCGGAAUAGAAAGCCACGGCUAACUACGUGCCAGCAGCCGCGGUAAUUC